RNAcentral lists this ribosomal RNA (503 nucleotides) under uncultured bacterium. RNAcentral describes it as "partial 16S ribosomal RNA". It matches the Rfam family "Bacterial small subunit ribosomal RNA", at positions 30 to 523 of the family's 1533-position model. The record is from RNAcentral.
AUUGAACGCUGGCGGCAGGCUUGACACAUGCAAGUCGAGCGGGGUGAUGGUGCUUGCACUAUCACUUAGCGGCGGACGGGUGAGUAAUGCUUAGGAAUCUGCCUAUUAGUGGGGGACAACAUCUCGAAAGGGAUGCUAAUACCGCAUACGUCCUACGGGAGAAAGCAGGGGAUCACUUGUGACCUUGCGCUAAUAGAUGAGCCUAAGGCGGAUUAGCUAGUUGGUGGGGUAAAGGCCUACCAAGGCGACGAUCUGUAGCGGGUCUGAGAGGAUGAUCCGCCACACUGGGGCUGAGACACGGCCCAGACUCCUACGGGAGGCAGCAGUGGGGAAUAUUGGACAAUGGGGGUAACCCUGAUCCAGCCAUGCCGCGUGUGUGAAGAAGGCCUUAUGGUUGUAAAGCACUUUAAGCGAGGAGGAGGCUCUUUUGGUUAAUACCCAAGAUGAGUGGACGUUACUCGCAGAAUAAGCACCGGCUAACUCUGUGCCAGCCGCCGCCGUAA